AAAGGAAUUGACGGGGGCCCGCACAAGCAGUGGAGUAUGUGGUUUAAUUCGAAGCAACGCGAAGAACCUUACCAGGUCUUGACAUCCUAGGAAUCCUUAAGAGAUUAGGGAGUGCCUUUCGGGGAAUCUAGAGACAGGUGGUGCAUGGUUGUCGUCAGCUCGUGUCGUGAGAUGUUGGGUUAAGUCCCGCAACGAGCGCAACCCUUAUCAUUAGUUGCUACGCAAGAGCACUCUAAUGAGACUGCCGUUGACAAAACGGAGGAAGGUGGGGAUGACGUCAAAUCAUCAUGCCCCUUAUGACCUGGGCUACACACGUACUACAAUGGCAAUUAACAGCAGGAAGCAAUACGGUGACGUGGAGCAAAUCCUCAAAAAUUGUCUCAGUUCAGAUUGUAGGCUGCAACUCGCCUACAUGAAGAUGGAAUUGCUAGUAAUCGCAGAUCAGCAUGCUGCGGUGAAUACGUUCCCGGGCCUUGUACACACCGCCCGU
Molecule: ribosomal RNA, 490 nt
Filed under: uncultured bacterium
Lineage: Bacteria
Description: bacterial SSU rRNA
Rfam family: Bacterial small subunit ribosomal RNA
Source: RNAcentral